Molecule: ribosomal RNA, 378 nt
Filed under: uncultured bacterium
Lineage: Bacteria
Description: bacterial SSU rRNA
Rfam family: Bacterial small subunit ribosomal RNA
Source: RNAcentral
AAACGUAGGGGGCGAGCGUUGUCCGGAAUUACUGGGCGUAAAGGGCGCGUAGGCGGUUUCUUAAGUCUCAAGGUGAAAACUAUCGGCUUAACCGGUAGCCUGCCUGAGAAACUGAGGGACUUGAGGGCAGGAGAGGGGAGUGGAAUUCCCAGUGUAGCGGUGAAAUGCGUAGAUAUUGGGAGGAACACCGGUGGCGAAGGCGGCUCUCUGGCCUGUUACUGACGCUGAGGCGCGAAAGCGUGGGGAGCGAACGGGAUUAGAUACCCCGGUAGUCCACGCCGUAAACGAUGGGUGCUAGGUGUAGGAGGUAUCGACCCCUUCUGUGCCGUAGUUAACACAAUAAGCACCCCGCCUGGGGAGUACGGCCGCAAGGUUGAA